This 559-nucleotide long non-coding RNA is filed under the name Dromaius novaehollandiae (emu). RNAcentral describes it as "lncRNA (ENSDNVG00000011507.1)". Lineage: Eukaryota; Metazoa; Chordata; Aves; Casuariiformes; Dromaiidae. The record is from RNAcentral.
GGAUUGGUUGAGAUUUGUCAGAAGUUGUCCCAGGACCUGCUGUGAUCUCAGUGUACUAGCGGGAAGCUGUCUCCUGCUAAUGAUGCCCCUCUUGUUGCUACUGUCCGUGAUCCCUUGUCCAAGCUACAACAUCCAUGUCAUCCUGCAAGAGCUCUUUGGUCUCUUUUCAGAGUUAGCAGGGAGUGAUAAAUUGGUGUCCUGCCAGCUCACAGAUGAAGGGUUGCUGAACCUGUACAGUGCGCAUGUGCUGCACAACCGCUGCUGUUGUAUCACCAGUGUGACACGUCUUAUGCUGCUGCUGCUGAUUUUCCUCUGUAAACCCUCUCUGUUUCUCCUCUGAACUGUGAGACAUACUCUCUGCCAUCCUGGAUAGUCUGCUGGGUGCCAAAGUGCUGUUGAAGUGGCUGGAUUGCUGGCUAUAAUGGCAAGUAGCAGCAUCAGUGGGGAUAGGAGGGAGGCUGAUGAGGUCUCAUGUCUUGGAAUGAGUUAAACAAGCUGGUGAAUGUGUUUGCAUGUGAACACAAACCUGUUUUUUCUUUUUUUUCCUAGCAGACUUGUC